Malaclemys terrapin pileata is the source of this 236-nucleotide long non-coding RNA. RefSeq lists it as uncharacterized. NCBI's taxonomy places the organism in Eukaryota, Metazoa, Chordata, Testudines, Emydidae. The record is from RefSeq and is a predicted model, not a curated record. The transcript is spliced from 3 exons.
CAGAUUAUCAACAUCCUUUUUGAAUUGUGGACACCAGAACUGGACACAAUAUUCCAGCAGUGGUCACACCAGGGCCAAAUACAGAGAAUCACUGCUUCCCAGGAUAGUCUCAUCCAUCCUUACACAGAUAGGAUUGCAUGAGGUGAAGACCACGAUGAAGGAUUACAUGGCAAGGGGGAAUUGAGAUGUCUUCACUGUUCAUUUAAUUUAUUUAAAACAUUCUAUACUUUUUUUUC